This is a non-coding RNA of Pelobates cultripes (western spadefoot toad), 146 nucleotides long. The record is from the annotation of a GenBank genome assembly. NCBI's taxonomy places the organism in Eukaryota, Metazoa, Chordata, Amphibia, Anura, Pelobatidae.
GAGAGAGAGACCUUUUAAAUGUUCCUUAAACCUCUCUCUCUCUCUCUCUCUCUAUAUAUAUAUAUAUAUAGAGAGAGAGAGAGAGAGAGAGAGAGAGAGAGAGAGAGAGAGAGAGAGGUUUAAGGAACAUUUAAAGGUUUGUUUGA